UGGGGAAUCUUGCGCAAUGGGCGAAAGCCUGACGCAGCAACGCCGCGUGAGCGAAGAAGGCCUUCGGGUUGUAAAGCUCUGUCAGGAGGGACGAAGCCACUCGGGUGAACAGCCCAGAGGGUGACGGUACCUCCAGAGGAAGCCCCGGCUAACUACGUGCCAGCAGCCGCGGUAGUACGUAGGGGGCGAGCGUGGUCCGGAAUCAUUGGGCGUAAAGCGCGUGUAGGCGGCUUGGCAAGUCUGGUGUGAAAGCUCGAGGCUCAACCUCGAGUCUGCACCGGAAACUGCCGUGCUAGAGUCCGGAAGAGGAGACUGGAAUUCCUGGUGUAGCGGUGAAAUGUGAAGAUAUCAGGAAGAACACCGGUGGCGAAGGCGGGUCUCUGGGACGGUACUGACGCUGAGACGCGAAAGCGUGGGGAGCAAACA
Molecule: ribosomal RNA, 426 nt
Filed under: uncultured prokaryote
Description: bacterial SSU rRNA
Rfam family: Bacterial small subunit ribosomal RNA
Source: RNAcentral